GGAGAGAGAGAUCAGGUUGGGAGAUCUCUGGGAGAGAGAGAUCAGGUUGGGGGAUCUCAGAGAGAGAGAGAGAGAGAUGAGUGGUGGGGGGUGAGCGGUGGUGGUCGUGAGGACAUGUAUGCGUUGGGAGAUAUUUCUGGAGAAAUGUGGGACAUGUGGAGGACGGGGAAGACGGCCGAUGCUAGCGUAGAAUCAGUCGGUCUAACAACAUCGUUUCUCUUUUUUUUAAACAGCUUACAGACAGACCAAUAUAUGUAUUAUCUGUAAGAUUGUCUAUAAACCACAUGCAAAACACUAUAGAUGGUUGGGUAUCUGUACCUUUGUACAUGCGGUGGCGACGAACGAGGGUGUUGGGAUCGACCAAACCACAAAAACCGUGGAAUGUGAUGCUGAUUAUCGUGUCUUCUACCGACUGUAUCCAGAAAAAAAAACACUGAAAAAGAGAAAACAAAUGCACCGCGUCACACUUUUUAAUUUGAGAAAAAUCACGUUUUAGACACCUGCUCUGAAGACCAAAGCCUGCCCUGCCUGCCACCACUUGCCCUCAGAAACCGGCGGUGGAGUUGGAGAUGACUACUAAAAUAAUUGCUGGAGAAGUCCUCCGCUAGCUUUAGUCAAAGAUUUCAGUUAAGGCCUAGUCGUUCGUUAGCGCAAGCAGGAACUUGCGGCAGUUGCAAAACGUACGAGACGACAUGCAGAAGCCAAAGCCGAUCCGAUGCCAGAAUUGCCGGGGCACGGCACGGGAU
Molecule: long non-coding RNA, 746 nt
Filed under: Brachypodium distachyon (stiff brome)
Lineage: Eukaryota; Viridiplantae; Streptophyta; Magnoliopsida; Poales; Poaceae
Description: long non-coding RNA (BDIS_LNC000904)
Source: RNAcentral